GACGAACGCUGGCGGCGUGCUUAACACAUGCAAGUCGAACGGAAAGGCCCUGCUUGCUGGGUGUUCGAGUGGCGAACGGGUGAGUAACACGUGGGUGAUCCGCCCCCUACUUUGUGAUAAGCCUGGGAAAAUGGGUCUAAUACUGGAUAGGACAUUGCUGCAGGUGGUGUGGUGGUAAGAUUAUCUUCGGUAGGGGAGGAGCUCGCGGCGUAUUAGCUUGUUGGUGGGGUAAUGGCCUACCAACGCGUCGACGGAUAGCCGGCCUGAGAGGGUGGACGGCCACAUCGGGACUGCGAUGGGACGCAGCAGCCUGCGAGAGGCAGCAGUGGGGGAUAUUGUACUAUAGGCGCAAGCCGGAUGCAGCGACGCCGCGUGGGGGGUGACGGCCUUCUGGUGGUAAACACCUGUAAGCGAUGACGAAGCCGCUGUGGUGACGGUAGUGGGAGAAGAAGCACCGGCUAACUACGUG
RNAcentral lists this ribosomal RNA (469 nucleotides) under uncultured bacterium. RNAcentral's name for it is "partial 16S ribosomal RNA". It matches the Rfam family "Bacterial small subunit ribosomal RNA", at positions 28 to 507 of the family's 1533-position model. The record is from RNAcentral.